UAAGCGGUCGCCGAAAAGCUUCUAAAAGAGUAGGCC
This is a regulatory RNA element of 36 nucleotides. It matches the Rfam family "DUF805b RNA". Rfam says of the family: Bacteroidetes, Chlorobi (1 example), Proteobacteria. Lineage (Flavobacteria) The record is from Rfam.